CCCGGCUGCUCCCGGCACGUGACGCGCGACCGUCGCGACGGAGGCCGCCGCAGGUGGCAUCGCAGGGCUCGCCUCUCCAGUCGGUUUCCUCCAGGAAGCCCACCUGGAUUACGAUCCAGAGAUUGUGUCCUGGGUGAUGGAAGUUCCCAGAAGCCAAAUCUCUGAAUGACUUGUGACCCUGGCCCAGUAAUCUCCUCCAACUGUAGAGCUGGGGAAAAUGUUGCUGCUGCUCCUGUUGCUGAAGACACUGUGGAAUUUGAAUCUGUGAAGUGUACCUCUUUGAGAAAGAAUAUUGAAAUCAGAACCGUGCAUCUCCCAUAUGGAAUGAAAAAGAAUUAUGAAAAAAAGACUCAGACCUAAAAUAUUUUUGUUUAUUCCGGUGCUAUGCUGUUAAAUGUCUUGGUCUGUGUUUUAAAUUGUUGGGCAUUUUGGGGUUGGAUGGCUCAGUGGUUGAGCGUCUGCCUUUGGCUCAGGUCAUGAUCCUGGGGUCCUGGGAUCAAGUCCCCAUCAGGCUCUCUGCAGGGAGCCUGCUUCUAACUUCUGCCUAUGUCUCUUCCUCUCUGUGUCUCUUAUGAAUAAAUAAAUAAAAUCUUC
This is a long non-coding RNA of Nyctereutes procyonoides (raccoon dog), 594 nucleotides long. RefSeq lists it as uncharacterized. The record is from RefSeq and is a predicted model, not a curated record. The transcript has 3 exons. NCBI's taxonomy places the organism in Eukaryota, Metazoa, Chordata, Mammalia, Carnivora, Canidae.